GGCCGUCUAGCUCAGUUGGUUAGAGCCUCGUGCUAAUAACGCGAGGCAUCACAACAGGUCUUGGGUUCGACCCCCACGAUGGCCA
Molecule: non-coding RNA, 85 nt
Organism: Mycena albidolilacea
Lineage: Eukaryota; Fungi; Basidiomycota; Agaricomycetes; Agaricales; Mycenaceae
Source: the annotation of a GenBank genome assembly